GCCUUUGUGGUGCAGUGGUCAGCACGCUCGACGCGUAACCGAGAGGUCCGUGGUUCGAUUCCUGGCGAAGGAG
RNAcentral lists this transfer RNA (73 nucleotides) under Stegodyphus mimosarum. It matches the Rfam family "tRNA". From Rfam's summary of the family: Transfer RNA (tRNA) molecules are approximately 80 nucleotides in length. Lineage: Eukaryota; Metazoa; Arthropoda; Arachnida; Araneae; Eresidae. The record is from Rfam by way of RNAcentral.